RNAcentral lists this transfer RNA (63 nucleotides) under Paleosepharia posticata. RNAcentral's name for it is "tRNA-Thr". The record is from RNAcentral. Lineage: Eukaryota; Metazoa; Arthropoda; Insecta; Coleoptera; Chrysomelidae. RNAcentral also lists the same sequence under 1 other name.
GUUUUAAUAAUUUAAAUAAAAUAUUGGUCUUGUAAAUCAAAAAUAAGUUCUGCUUUUAAAACU